Molecule: ribosomal RNA, 484 nt
Filed under: uncultured bacterium
Lineage: Bacteria
Description: partial 16S ribosomal RNA
Rfam family: Bacterial small subunit ribosomal RNA
Source: RNAcentral
AUUGAACGCUGGCGGCAGGCCUAACACAUGCAAGUCGAGCGGAUGAAGGGAGCUUGCUCCUGGAUUCAGCGGCGGACGGGUGUGUAAUGCCUAGGAAUCUGCCUGGUAGUGGGGGAUAACGUCCGGAAACGGGCGCUAAUACCGCAUACGUCCUGAGGGAGCAAGUGGGGGAUCUUCGGACCUCACGCUCUCAGAUGAGCCUAGGUCGGAUUAGCUAGUUGGUGGGGUAAGGACCUACUAAGUCGACGAUCCGUAACUGGUCUGAGAGGAUGAUCACUCACACUGGAAGGUGGACACGGUCAAUACGACUACGGGAGGCAGCAGUGGGGAAUAUGGGACAAUGGGCGAAAGCAUUAUCCAGCCAUGGCACGUGUGUGAAGAAGGUGUUCGGAUUGUAAAGCACUUUAAGUGGGUAUGAAGGGCAGUAAGUUAAUACCUUGCGGUUGUGACGGUACUAACAGAAUAAGCACCGGCUAACUUCGUG